AGUGAACGCUGGCGGUAGGCCUAACACAUGCAAGUCGAACGGCAGCACAGUAAGAGCUUGCUCUUACGGGUGGCGAGUGGCGGACGGGUGAGGAAUACAUCGGAAUCUACUUUUUCGUGGGGGAUAACGUAGGGAAACUUACGCUAAUACCGCAUACGACCUACGGGUGAAAGCAGGGGAUCUUCGGACCUUGCGCGAUUGAAUGAGCCGAUGUCGGAUUAGCUAGUUGGCGGGGUAAAGGCCCACCAAGGCGACGAUCCGUAGCUGGUCUGAGAGGAUGACAGGCAACCGUGAAAGUGGAAAACGGUCGGACCACCAAGGGAGGGCACAGGUGGGAAUUGUGGGCCAAGGGGCGAAACCCUGACCCAGCCUUCCCGCGGGGGUAAGAAGGGCCUUCGGUUGGAAAAGCCCUUUUGUGGGAAAGAAAAGCAGCAGGUUAAUACCCCGCUGUUCUGACGGUACCCAAAGAAUAAGCACCGGCUAACUUCGUG
This 491-nucleotide ribosomal RNA is filed under the name uncultured bacterium. RNAcentral describes it as "partial 16S ribosomal RNA". It matches the Rfam family "Bacterial small subunit ribosomal RNA", at positions 29 to 507 of the family's 1533-position model. The record is from RNAcentral.